GAAACUUAAAUGAAUUGACGGGGGCCCGCACAAGCGGUGGAGCAUGUGGUUUAAUUCGAUGCAACGCGAAGAACCUUACCAGGUCUUGACAUCCCCUGACAACCCAAGAGAUUGGGCGUUCCCCUUCGGGGGGACAGGGUGACAGGUGGUGCAUGGUUGUCGUCAGCUCGUGUCGUGAGAUGUUGGGUUAAGUCCCGCAACGAGCGCAACCCUCGCCUCUAGUUGCCAGCAUUCGGUUGGGCACUCUAGAGGGACUGCCGGCGACAAGUCGGAGGAAGGUGGGGAUGACGUCAAAUCAUCAUGCCCUUUAUGACCUGGGCUACAAACGUACUACAAUGGCCAAUACAAAGAGAUGCGAAGCGGUGACGUGGAGCGAACCUCAGAAAGUUGGUCUCAGUUCAGAUUGAAGUCUGCAACUCGACUUCAUGAAGGCGGAAUCGCUAGUAAUCGCGGGUCAGCAGACCGCGGUGAAUACGUUCCCGGGUUUU
RNAcentral lists this ribosomal RNA (488 nucleotides) under uncultured Geobacillus sp. RNAcentral's name for it is "bacterial SSU rRNA". It matches the Rfam family "Bacterial small subunit ribosomal RNA", at positions 896 to 1382 of the family's 1533-position model. The record is from RNAcentral. Lineage: Bacteria; Bacillati; Bacillota; Bacilli; Caryophanales; Anoxybacillaceae.